GAUGAACGCUAGCGGGAGGCCUAACACAUGCAAGUCGAGGGGCAGCACGUCUUCGGAUGGUGGCGACCGGCGCACGGGUGCGUAACGCGUAUGUAACUUGCCCAUAACUGGAGAAUAGCCCAAAGAAAUUUGGAUUAAUCCUCCAUAGUAUUAUGAAACCGCAUGGUUUUAUAAUUAAAGCUCCGGCGGUUAUGGAUAGACAUGCGUCCCAUUAGCUAGUUGGUGAGGUAACGGCUCACCAAGGCUACGAUGGGUAGGGGUUCUGAGAGGAAGGUCCCCCACACUGGUACUGAGACACGGACCAGACUCCUACGGGAGGCAGCAGUGAGGAAUAUUGGUCAAUGGGCGAGAGCCUGAACCAGCCAAGUCGCGUGAAGGAAGAAGGUUCUAUGGAUUGUAAACUUCUUUGCAGGGGAAUAAAGGACGGUACGUGUACUGUUUUGUAUGUACCUUGCGAAUAAGGAUCGGCUAACUCCGUG
Molecule: ribosomal RNA, 479 nt
Filed under: uncultured bacterium
Lineage: Bacteria
Description: bacterial SSU rRNA
Rfam family: Bacterial small subunit ribosomal RNA
Source: RNAcentral